CUCUCUCUCUUGAAGAAGAAUAAUGGAUGCCAACUGGUCCAAAACCACAUCUCUUUCAGUUGUUUUUAAGGGCAAUUGAGCCAUCAAUCAUAUUCAAUUGGAAGUUGAAAGGUUCUGGUUUUAUCCUUUUAUUUGUUUUAAUCAUAAAAGUUUCAUUUAAAAAAAAAUCCAAAUGUAUUUUGUUUGGAUGACGUGAAAAAUGAGCUACGAUUUUGGAGGAAAGAAGAAUAACUCGUUGUAAUUCUUAACAUUGUGUUGUUCCUAAAUCGUAUUUAUUGGAAGGAAGAAUCACAGCAUGCCACAUGUGGGUCGAGAAUGGAGUUCGGCCAUCAACCUAUGGAUAUCAAUCUAUAGAGAUCAACCCCUUCGACUUGGAGCAACAAAUGAAGGAAAGAGAAAUCCCUUAGCACGUCAUGCUCAAGCCAAGGGGUUGGGGCCUUCCCUGACCCGUACAUUUGGGAGUUAUUAAAGCGAAAUCAAUGACUGCUUUGAUUACCUCUGCGAUCCCAGCCGUAAUUCUCACAACGGGAAGAUUCCACUUGACCUUAUAAAUACACCGUAAUUCUCACAACGGGAAGAUUCCACUUGACCCUAUAAAUACACUCUCCCUUAUCCACUCGGUGAGGUAUGCAAUUCUUUUUGAAACCGACUUAGAAAUUCGGAUCUUGAACUGACUUAAGCACCAGAGUGCUUUUUCUUUGCUUACAGAUCUUUCUAUUCAGUCCGCUCGAGUUUCACCUUGUGAA
Momordica charantia (bitter melon) is the source of this 746-nucleotide non-coding RNA. The record is from RefSeq and is a predicted model, not a curated record. NCBI's taxonomy places the organism in Eukaryota, Viridiplantae, Streptophyta, Magnoliopsida, Cucurbitales, Cucurbitaceae.